This 537-nucleotide ribosomal RNA is filed under the name Erisphex pottii (spotted velvetfish). RNAcentral describes it as "partial 16S ribosomal RNA". The stretch from base 184 to 537 matches the Rfam family "Bacterial large subunit ribosomal RNA", at positions 566 to 1050 of the family's 2925-position model. The record is from RNAcentral. Lineage: Eukaryota; Metazoa; Chordata; Actinopteri; Perciformes; Aploactinidae.
GAGGCCUACUAGCUAGCCUAACACAAAAAGCAACCACCACUAUUAAUAACCCCUCAAACAAUUAAAUUCAAAAAUAAACCAUUUUUCCCCCUAGUACAGGCGAUAAAAAAGGAACAUAGAGCUAUAGAGAAAGUACCGCAAGGGAAUGCUGAAAGAGAACUGAAAAAAUUUAGUUAAGCCUAAAAAAGCAGAGAUUUAAACUCGUACCUUUUGCAUCAUGAUUUAGCUAGUGUAACCUGAGCAAAGUGCCCUUUAGUUCAUUACCCGAAACUAAGUGAGCUACUCCAAGACAGCCUAUUAUAGGGCGAACCCGUCUCUGUUGCAAAAGAGUGGGAAGAGCUUUGAGUAGAGGUGAUAAACCUACCGAACUUAGUAAUAGCUGGUUGCCCGAGAUUUGAAUAGAAGUUCAGCCCUUAAGCUUCUCUUUGCGUAUUUAUUUCCCCCCUUUUCCCACACCCAGAAGUUUAAGGAGUUAUUCAAAGAGGGUUCAGCCCCUUUGAAAUAAGAUACAACUUUACUAGGAGGGUAAAGAUCAUA